RNAcentral lists this ribosomal RNA (301 nucleotides) under uncultured bacterium. Its description in RNAcentral is "partial 16S ribosomal RNA". It matches the Rfam family "Bacterial small subunit ribosomal RNA", at positions 509 to 807 of the family's 1533-position model. The record is from RNAcentral.
CAGUCGCCGCGGUAAUGCGGAGGGGGCUAGCGUUGUUCGGAAUUACUGGGCGUAAAGCGCACGUAGGCGGAUCGAUCAGUCAGGGGUGAAAUCCUGGAGCUCAACUCCAGAACUGCCUUUGAUACUGUCGAUCUCGAGUCCGGAAGAGGUGAGUGGAACUCCUAGUGUAGAGGUGGAAUUCGUAGAUAUUAGGAAGAACACCAGUGGCGAAGGCGGCUUACUGGCUCAUACUGGACGCUGAGGUGCGAAAGCGUAGGGAGCAAACAGGAUUAGAUACCCCCGUAGUCCCUGUCUCUUAUAC